UGGGGAAUAUUGGGCAAUGGGCGCAAGCCUGACCCAGCAACGCCGCGUGAAGGAAGAAGGCUUUCGGGUUGUAAACUUCUUUUGUCAGGGACGGGGAGAAGACGGUACCUGACGAAUAGGCCACGGCUAACUACGUGCCAGCAGCCGCGGUAAUACGUAGGUUGCAAGCGUUGUCCGGAUUUACUGGGUGUAAAGGGCGUGUAGGCGGAGGAGCAAGUCAGAUGUGAAAUCCCGGGGCUUAACCCCGGAACUGCAUUUGAAACUGUUUCCCUUGAGUAUCGGAGAGGCAAGCGGAAUUCCUAGUGUAGCGGUGAAAUGCGUAGAUAUUAGGAGGAACACCAGUGGCGAAGGCGGCUUGCUGGACGACAACUGACGCUGAGGCGCG
RNAcentral lists this ribosomal RNA (385 nucleotides) under uncultured Pseudoflavonifractor sp. RNAcentral describes it as "bacterial SSU rRNA". It matches the Rfam family "Bacterial small subunit ribosomal RNA", at positions 355 to 755 of the family's 1533-position model. Lineage: Bacteria; Bacillati; Bacillota; Clostridia; Eubacteriales; Oscillospiraceae. The record is from RNAcentral.